CGCGUAUGCAACUUGCCCUGCACAGGAGGAUAACCCGUCGAAAGACGGACUAAUACUGCGUACACUCACUUAGAGGCAUCUUUUAGUGAGGAAAGAAAUUCGGUGUAGGAUAGGCAUGCGUCCCAUUAGCUAGUUGGUGAGGUAACGGCUCACCAAGGCAACGAUGGGUAGGGGAACUGAGAGGUUUAUCCCCCACACUGGUACUGAGACACGGACCAGACUCCUACGGGAGGCAGCAGUGAGGAAUAUUGGUCAAUGGGCGGGAGCCUGAACCAGCCAAGUCGCGUGAAGGAAGACUGUCUUAUGGAUUGUAAACUUCUUUUGUAUGGGAAUAAAGGUAGGGACGUGUCCUUAAUUGAAUGUACCAUACGAAUAAGCAUCGGCUAACUCCGUGCCAGCAGCCGCGGUAAUACGGAGGAUGCGAGCGUUAUCCGGAUUUAUUGGGUUUAAAGGGUGCGUAGGCGGUUUGUUAAGUCAGCGGUGAAAUCUUGGGGCUCAACCCCGAAACUGCCGUUGAAACUGGCGAACUUGAGUGUAGAUGAGGUAGGCGGAAUUCGUGGUGUAGCGGUGAAAUGCAUAGAUAUCACGAGGAACUCCGAUUGCGUAGGCAGCUUACUAAGUUACAACUGACGCUGAUGCACGAAAGCGUGGGUAUCAAACAGGAUUAGAUACCCUGGUAGUCCACGCAGUAAACGAUGAUAACUGGGCGUAUGCGAUAUACAGUAUGCUCCUAAGCGAAAGCGUUAAGUUAUCCACCUGGGGAGUA
RNAcentral lists this ribosomal RNA (766 nucleotides) under uncultured Porphyromonas sp. Its description in RNAcentral is "bacterial SSU rRNA". It matches the Rfam family "Bacterial small subunit ribosomal RNA", at positions 114 to 882 of the family's 1533-position model. The record is from RNAcentral. Lineage: Bacteria; Pseudomonadati; Bacteroidota; Bacteroidia; Bacteroidales; Porphyromonadaceae.